GUUUACAACUCCCAAACCCAAUGUGAACGUUACCAAACUGUUGCCUCGGCGGGGUCACGCCCCGGGUGCGUAAAAGCCCCGGAACCAGGCGCCCGCCGGAGGAACCAACCAAACUCUUUCUGUAGUCCCCUCGCGGACGUAUUUCUUACAGCUCUGAGCAAAAAUUCAAAAUGAAUCAAAACUUUCAACAACGGAUCUCUUGGUUCUGGCAUCGAUGAAGAACGCAGCGAAAUGCGAUAAGUAAUGUGAAUUGCAGAAUUCAGUGAAUCAUCGAAUCUUUGAACGCACAUUGCGCCCGCCAGUAUUCUGGCGGGCAUGCCUGUCCGAGCGUCAUUUCAACCCUCGAACCCCUCCGGGGGAUCGGCGUUGGGGAUCGGGACCCCUCACCGGGUGCCGGCCCUGAAAUACAGUGGCGGUCUCGCCGCAGCCUCUCCUGCGCAGUAGUUUGCACAACUCGCACCGGGAGCGCGGCGCGUCCACGUCCGUAAAACACCCAACUUCUGAAAUGUUGACCUCGGAUCAGGUAGGAAUACCCGCUGAACUUAAGCAUAUCAAUAAGCGGAGGAAAAGAAACCAACCAAAUU
Molecule: ribosomal RNA, 584 nt
Filed under: Trichoderma hamatum
Lineage: Eukaryota; Fungi; Ascomycota; Sordariomycetes; Hypocreales; Hypocreaceae
Description: eukaryotic LSU rRNA
Rfam family: 5.8S ribosomal RNA (bases 180-333)
Source: RNAcentral